Molecule: ribosomal RNA, 57 nt
Filed under: uncultured Glomus
Lineage: Eukaryota; Fungi; Glomeromycota; Glomeromycetes; Glomerales; Glomeraceae
Description: partial 28S ribosomal RNA
Source: RNAcentral
UGACCUCAUAUCUGUGAAAACAACCCGCUGAACUUAAGCAUAUCAAUAAGCGGAGGA